UGCCAGACUCCUACGGGAGGCAGCAGUGGGGGAUAUUGCACAAUGGGGGAAACCCUGAUGCAGCGACGCCGCGUGAGUGAAGAAGUAUUUCGGUAUGUAAAGCUCUAUCAGCAGGGAAGAAAAUGACAGUACCUGACCAAGAAGCCCCGGCUAACUACGUGCCAGCAGCCGCGGUAAUACGUAGGGGGCAAGCGUUAUCCGGAUUUACUGGGUGUAAAGGGAGCGUAGGCGGCGAUGCAAGUCAGAAGUGAAAGCCCGGGGCUCAACUCCGGGACUGCUUUUGAAACUGUAUGGCUAGAUUGCAGGAGAGGCAAGUGGAAUUCCUAGUGUAGCGGUGAAAUGCGUAGAUAUUAGGAGGAACACCAGUGGCGAAGGCGGCUUGCUGGACUGUAAAUGACGCUGAGGCUCGAAAGCGUGGGGAGCAAACAGGAUUAGAUACCCGAGUACU
RNAcentral lists this ribosomal RNA (448 nucleotides) under uncultured bacterium. RNAcentral's name for it is "bacterial SSU rRNA". It matches the Rfam family "Bacterial small subunit ribosomal RNA", at positions 329 to 794 of the family's 1533-position model. The record is from RNAcentral.